This 528-nucleotide ribosomal RNA is filed under the name uncultured bacterium. Its description in RNAcentral is "bacterial SSU rRNA". It matches the Rfam family "Bacterial small subunit ribosomal RNA", at positions 791 to 1320 of the family's 1533-position model. The record is from RNAcentral.
UAGUCCUAGCCGUAAACGAUGGGUACUAAGUGUUGGCCGAUCGACCCGGUCAGUGCUGUAGCUAACGCGUUAAGUACCCCGCCUGGGGAGUACGACCGCAAGGUUGAAACUCAAAGGAAUUGACGGGGGCCCGCACAAGCGGUGGAGCAUGUGGUUUAAUUCGACGCAACGCGAAGAACCUUACCCAGGCUUGACAUCCUAGUGACAGCCCCAGAGAUGGGGUCUUCCUUCGGGACUCUAGGACAGGUGCUGCAUGGCUGUCGUCAGCUCGUGUCGUGAGAUGUUGGGUUAAGUCCCGCAACGAGCGCAACCCUUGUCCUUAGUUGCCAGCAGUUCGGCUGGGCACUCUAAGGGGACUGCCCCGGAAAACGGGGAGGAAGGUGGGGAUGACGUCAAGUCCUCAUGGCCCUUACGCCUGGGGCUACACACGUGCUACAAUGGUCGGUACAAAGGGUUGCAAUACCGCGAGGUGGAGCUAAUCCCAUAAAGCCGGCCUCAGUUCGGAUUGGAGUCUGCAACUUGACUCCA